GGCUUAAUACAUGCAAGUCGAGGGGCAGCGGGGGUAGCAAUACCUGCCGGCGACCGGCAAACGGGUGCGGAACACGUACGCAACUUUCCCAAAACUGGUGAAUAGCCUUCCGAAAGGGAGAUUAAUACACCGUAAGAUGUAGGAGUGGCAUCACUCUUAUAUUAUAGCUCCGGCGGUUUUGGAUGGGCGUGCGGCUGAUUAGGUAGUUGGCGGGGUAACGGCCCACCAAGCCUGCGAUCAGUAACUGGUGUGAGAGCACGACCAGUCACACGGGCACUGAGACACGGGCCCGACUCCUACGGGAGGCAGCAGUAAGGAAUAUUGGUCAAUGGACGCAAGUCUGAACCAGCCAUGCCGCGUGCAGGAUGACGGCCCUCUGGGUUGUAAACUGCUUUUAUAGGGGACGAAAAAGGGCUUUCUAGCUCGUCUGACGGUACCCUAGGAAUAAGCACCGGCUAACUCCGUGCCAGCAGCCGCGGUAAUACGGAGGGUGCAAGCGUUAUCCGGAUUUACUGGGUUUAAAGGGUGCGUAGGUGGGUCGGUAAGUCAGCGGUGAAAUCUUCGAGCUUAACUCGGAAACUGCCAUUGAUACUUUUUAUCUUGAAUAUCCCGGAGGUAAGCGGAAUAUGUCAUGUAGCGGUGAAAUGCUUGGAUAUGACAUAGAACACCCAUUGCGAAGGCAGCUUACUACAGGAUUAUUGACACUGAGGCACGAAAGCGUGGGGAUCAAACAGGAUUAGAUACCCUGGUAGUCCACGCCCUAAACGAUGGAUACUCGACAUCAGCGAUACACAGUUGGUGUCUGAGCGAAAGCAUUAAGUAUCCCACCUGGGAAGUACG
Molecule: ribosomal RNA, 840 nt
Filed under: uncultured bacterium
Lineage: Bacteria
Description: bacterial SSU rRNA
Rfam family: Bacterial small subunit ribosomal RNA
Source: RNAcentral